RNAcentral lists this ribosomal RNA (380 nucleotides) under Moraxella catarrhalis. Its description in RNAcentral is "bacterial SSU rRNA". It matches the Rfam family "Bacterial small subunit ribosomal RNA", at positions 291 to 663 of the family's 1533-position model. Lineage: Bacteria; Pseudomonadati; Pseudomonadota; Gammaproteobacteria; Moraxellales; Moraxellaceae. The record is from RNAcentral.
UCUGAGAGGAUGAUCAGCCACACUGGGACUGAGACACGGCCCAGACUCCUACGGGAGGCAGCAGUGGGGAAUAUUGGACAAUGGGCGAAAGCCUGAUCCAGCCAUGCCGCGUGUGUGAAGAAGGCCUUUUGGUUGUAAAGCACUUUAAGUGGGGAGGAAAAGCUUAUGGUUAAUACCCAUAAGCCCUGACGUUACCCACAGAAUAAGCACCGGCUAACUCUGUGCCAGCAGCCGCGGUAAUACAGAGGGUGCAAGCGUUAAUCGGAAUUACUGGGCGUAAAGCGCGCGUAGGUGGUUAUUUAAGUCAGAUGUGAAAGCCCCGGGCUUAACCUGGGAACUGCAUCUGAUACUGGAUAACUAGAGUAGGUGAGAGGGGAGUA